ACGGGUCUAUAAAACAGAUGUCACGAUUGUGGAUCUGUCUGUUCUUCUAUGAUGUGUCUGCGUGUGUGUAUGUGUGUGUGUGUACGGUGUGGUGCGUUAUGCGUUUUACGUAUAUGCGUGUAUGAGUGUGUGUGUUGGGUGUCUCUGUGUCUGUGUUAGAGUCGCGUUGCUGUCAGUUGUGUUUACCUUAUCAGCUGGGUGGUCACGUGUACGCUGUCACCAGCCUUGCCGUGCGCAGCACCGCUCAGCUGUAAUCAGUGGACCACAGGUUCCGGUCGCUGAGUUCUGGUCGUGUGUCGCGGGGAGAGCUCUGUGUUUGGACUCUUGUACCUUUCUGUUGGCGGCUCUCUGAUCUUGUUCUUCAGUGCUCCCUGUUCGAUUUACAUUUCCUGCUGCUCGCUUGACUCACUCAUCAUCUUCCUGCGUUCUUCCUUCUGUCAUUCUGUCUGAGUCAAUAAAUAAUUAUUUUACUUGCAA
Molecule: non-coding RNA, 477 nt
Organism: Danio rerio (zebrafish)
Lineage: Eukaryota; Metazoa; Chordata; Actinopteri; Cypriniformes; Danionidae
Source: RefSeq, a predicted model, not a curated record